Limanda limanda (common dab) is the source of this 547-nucleotide long non-coding RNA. RefSeq lists it as uncharacterized. The transcript is spliced from 5 exons. The record is from RefSeq and is a predicted model, not a curated record. Lineage: Eukaryota; Metazoa; Chordata; Actinopteri; Pleuronectiformes; Pleuronectidae.
CGACCUCUUGUCGGAGCAGUUGAGGCGUCCAGAGGCACAACGACGCCAGCCUCUUCCAGACAGCACGCCUCCGACCGACAUCAACGCUGUUUACAGCAUUUUGAGUCUGCCCCAGGCUGCCUCCGCACAAAACCCCACAAGACAGAAAGCUGGAAACACCAAGGACGAUUCUGCCAACUACGCUUCUGUGGACUUUAAGAAUAAGCUAAAGAAGAAGCAAAGAAAGGUGAAAGAAGACCCUGUGUAUGCGAAGGUUUCCAAGCCAACAAGAGUUAAAAAGAAUGAACCAGAGAGCCUGCAGGACUAUGAAAACAUUAGUAAUGCAACUGCACGUGCACCAAAAUAUCCAAAUCUAUUUGACAACCACACCAGUGAAGGUGAAGUAGAGCUCAACUAUUCACAAGUGAGAUUCACAGCGAAGCCCCAACGUCAGACGACCAACAGAGACUCCAGCAGCUCAGAGGAAGAUGAAAGUCUUUACUCUAACGUCAGGAUUUGACCCGAGAUAUUCUCGUCCUGCUUUUUACAGCUACCUCGGGCCUGAGGA